This 735-nucleotide long non-coding RNA is filed under the name Mus spicilegus (steppe mouse). RNAcentral's name for it is "lncRNA (ENSMSIG00000030586.1)". Lineage: Eukaryota; Metazoa; Chordata; Mammalia; Rodentia; Muridae. The record is from RNAcentral.
CCUUGAGACUAUUGAUGUGAGCUGCCAGGAACCAGGAAUGCCGCUGGAGCUACGCUGGCUUCUAACCACUUCAAACACACAGUGGAGUGCCCAAAGCAAUGUAACCUUGCUGGCUGUAGAAGUCUGCAAAACCAGAGAAAAACCGGAGUCAGCUGGCCUCAGAGAGGGAGGAUCACACAAGAGGACACUCUACAACCCAAGUCUACUUUCUAUAAGGGUUUGGACUGUCAACAUCAAGUGAAAUUUCUCAAGAACCAACAGGAUUGGGGUAAGAAAGUCCCUGCUGGCCCAUGCAGGCACAGGCAUGCACACUGGGGCUGAGGAGAAUUCUGGAAUCAAGGAGGCAGCUGAACAAGACACAGCUGUUUGGAGACCAGCAUUCUGGGGAAGGCCCCUCUCUGUACAGCCCAAGAGGGAAUCUCUGAAUAGUUGCACUCUUGGACUGCGCUCAGUGUUCCUCAUCAGCUGGAGGCCGCAUCAUCAGCUUCGUUUUGUUGCCUCUGUCAUUGUUUUGGAGCCUUAGAGCGUGAACGUGCCUGGCCCCCUGCCACGGCUGCAGGAGUGGAGCCAGGGUGUGUACUGCAGCCCAGAGGAGGAGCCUCGCACUCUUCUGCAAAAAGAUUCCGGGGAGGAAAUCUGGAAAGUCUUUUCAAAACAACUCACAAAGGAAGGAGAGCUGCCAACUCUUGCAGGGUUGGUUUGCCCUAAUAAAUGAUCAGUUACUUAACGUGAGCA